Molecule: ribosomal RNA, 269 nt
Filed under: Haemaphysalis longicornis (longhorned tick)
Lineage: Eukaryota; Metazoa; Arthropoda; Arachnida; Ixodida; Ixodidae
Description: partial large subunit ribosomal RNA
Source: RNAcentral
UCAAUGAUUUUUUAAAUUGCUGUAGUAUUUUGACUAUACAAAGGUAUUGUAAUAAGACUUUAAUUGAGUGCUAAGAGAAUGGAUUUUCAAAAAAAUUCUUUUUUAAGUUUAAAAAUUAAAGUUAUUUUUAUUUGUGAAGAAACAAUAAUAAAAAUUAAAGACAAGAAGACCCUAUGAAUUUUUAUAAACUUUAAUAUUUAAUUAAAUAUUAAAGUUUAUUUAAUUGGGGCGAUUGAGAAAGAUAAAAAACUUUUUUUUUUAUUUAAAGA